Molecule: ribosomal RNA, 527 nt
Filed under: Bruchidius cisti
Lineage: Eukaryota; Metazoa; Arthropoda; Insecta; Coleoptera; Chrysomelidae
Description: partial 16S ribosomal RNA
Rfam family: Bacterial large subunit ribosomal RNA
Source: RNAcentral
UCAAAAACAUGGCCUAUUGAGAAUAAUUUUAGGUUUGGCCUGCCCCCUGAGUAGUUAAAUGGCCGCGGUAUUUUGACCGUGCUAAGGUAGCAUAAUCAUUAGUUUCUUAAUUAGAAGCUAGAAUGAAUGGUUGGAUGAAAAAAAUUCUGUCUCUAUUUAAAAUUUAUGGAAUUUUAUUUUUUAGUAAAAAAGCUAAAAUAUUUUUAAAAGACGAGAAGACCCUAUAGAGUUUAAUAUUUUUAUUUUAUAAAAUUUUUUAGAAUAUAAAUUUUUAUAAAAUAUGAGUAUUUAAUUGGGGUGAUUGAAAAAUUAGAGUAACUUUUUCUUUUUUAAACACUAAUUGGUGACUAAUUGAUCCAUUAUUUAUGAUUAUAAGAUUAAAUUACCUUAGGGAUAACAGCGUAAUAUUUUCAAAGAGUUCUAAUCGAAGAAAAAGAUUGCGACCUCGAUGUUGGAUUAAAAUUAACUUUAGGUGUAGAAGCUUAAAAGUUGGGUCUGUUCGACCUUUAAAAUUUUACAUGAUCUGA